Molecule: non-coding RNA, 710 nt
Organism: Pelobates cultripes (western spadefoot toad)
Lineage: Eukaryota; Metazoa; Chordata; Amphibia; Anura; Pelobatidae
Source: the annotation of a GenBank genome assembly
CAGUGCAUAGUGGCGAGGUUGGUUUCGCCACACUGUCCCAUAGUGUUUUUCCUUCUCCCCCCCGUGGCGAAACUAACCUCGCCACUGGGUUAUGGAGAAGCCUGGUUGCCAGCCUCCUGCCUCAUGACUAUGGCCCCUCUCAUCAGCCCAUGCUAGACUUAACCCCAUGGUGGUUUUGUUCUGUUUGUGGGAUCUGAGCGCUGUUCGGAUAUAUUGAGCGCUCAGAUCCAAGCUAUCUGGGGAUAGGUUGAAUGUGGGGGCUCUGUUCAGUGUAAUGGGAAUUAUGUAUUUUUGUGUAUUUUUACUGUUGUUGUGAAUAGAGCUAUUGUCUGUAUGCUGGAGAUAAUUGGCUUACCACACCCAAGCCAUGCUUGCAGGCGGUCACAAAUUGACUUACAACUAACUUUUGACCCACUGGACCAAUUUGUAUGAUUUUGAUGUAUGUUUGUAUUUGGAGUAUGCUGAUUCUGAAAAUGUUUUAUGUAAAUGUGAUAUUUACUUUUAAAGUUAUGAACAUUGUGUAAAACUGUGUAUUUUCCUACCUGUGAUAAUUACGUUAGCCCAUUGUGUUCAGUAAUUAUAUCGCAGAGGGGAGGAUUCUGCUGGAAUGAAUGAGAGUGUUUUACUGUGUAUUACGUGUUUAUUGGUUGUUUCACAAAACCCUGCGGGUGGUACUAAUGUUUAAGAAUGUGUAUAUAAGAACAAUAAAC